GAACGCUGGCGGCGUGCCUAAUACAUGCAAGUCGAGCGAAUCUUGAGGUGCUUGCACCUCUUGGAUUAGCGGCGGACGGGUGAGUAACACGUGGGCAACCUGCCUGUAAGACUGGGAUAACUUCGGGAAACCGGAGCUAAUACCGGAUAAUCCUUUUCCUCUCAUGAGGAAAAGCUGAAAGUCGGUUUACGCUGACACUUACAGAUGGGCCCGCGGCGCAUUAGCUAGUUGGUGAGGUAACGGCUCACCAAGGCGACGAUGCGUAGCCGACCUGAGAGGGUGAUCGGCCACACUGGGACUGAGACACGGCCCAGACUCCUACGGGAGGCAGCAGUAGGGAAUCUUCCGCAAUGGACGAAAGUCUGACGGAGCAACGCCGCGUGAGCGAUGAAGGCCUUCGGGUCGUAAAGCUCUGUUGUUAGGGAAGAACAAGUACCGGAGUAACUGCCGGUACCUUGACGGUACCUAACCAAAAGCCACGGCUAACUACGUGCCAGCAGCCGCGGUAAUAC
RNAcentral lists this ribosomal RNA (512 nucleotides) under Bacillus sp. 'Mali 342'. Its description in RNAcentral is "bacterial SSU rRNA". It matches the Rfam family "Bacterial small subunit ribosomal RNA", at positions 31 to 526 of the family's 1533-position model. The record is from RNAcentral. Lineage: Bacteria; Bacillati; Bacillota; Bacilli; Caryophanales; Bacillaceae.